GACGAACGCUGGCGGCGUGCUUAACACAUGCAAGUCGAACGGUGAAGCGCCUUCCUUUUUGGUGGGUGUGGAUGAGUGGCGAACGGGUGAGUAACACGUGAGUAACCUUCCCCCUUCUUCUGGAUAACCGCAUGAAAGUGUGGCUAAUACGGGAUAUUCUGGCUCUGUCGCAUGAUGGGUCUGGGAAAGAUAUUGUUUCGGUGGGGGAUGGGCUCGCGGCCUAUCAGCUUGUUGGUGGGGUGAUGGCCUACCAAGGCGGUGACGGGUAGCCGGCCUGGGAGGGUGGACGGUCACACUGGGACUGAGACACGGCCCAGACUCCUACGGGAGGCAGCAGUGGGGAAUAUUGCACAAUGGGCGCAAGCCUGAUGCAGCGACGCCGCGUGAGGGAUGGAGGCCUUCGGGUUGUGAACCUCUUUCGCCAGUGAAGCAGGCCUGCCUCGUUUGUGGGUGGGUUGACGGUAGCUGGAUAAGAAGCGCCGGCUAACUACGUG
Molecule: ribosomal RNA, 494 nt
Filed under: uncultured bacterium
Lineage: Bacteria
Description: partial 16S ribosomal RNA
Rfam family: Bacterial small subunit ribosomal RNA
Source: RNAcentral